Molecule: long non-coding RNA, 466 nt
Filed under: Chinchilla lanigera (long-tailed chinchilla)
Lineage: Eukaryota; Metazoa; Chordata; Mammalia; Rodentia; Chinchillidae
Description: lncRNA (ENSCLAG00000024425.1)
Source: RNAcentral
UUUGCCCCUUCCUCAGUAAAUGGUACUCUUUGACCCACAGCAAAAAUCAAAGAGAUAGCUGGAGUGCUCACUUUUCCUCAGUGUCUGUGGUGAGGUUAGCAUCAUGAGUUACAUCUGAAACAAUACAUUUUAUUGAAGGCAUUUAAAGGAAAAGGUUUUAAAAAUCCCCUAAGUCUCACUGAGAAGACAAUGCUCCUGGCAUGGUCACACUUUGGGAUAGCUGUGCCCUGACUCCUUCUACUGUACACUGAGACAAGCACGAGAACAACACCACUGGGUUAUUUAUGUUUUUAAAAAAUGUGAAGAAAGAAGGAAUCAUUGACUUUCAUUAAUCUCCAUCAUCAGGAAGAGGUCAACGGAGGUCCUUUCUACACUUUUCAACUCAUACCAUUCAAAGUGGUAACUCUUCCACCUGUGGGAAGGUCCCAGGGAGCCACAGCCAAGCUACAAUCAAUCACAAAACUUC